CUGAGAGGAUGACCAGCCACACUGGAACUGAGACACGGUCCAGACUCCUACGGGAGGCAGCAGUGGGGAAUAUUGCACAAUGGGCGCAAGCCUGAUGCAGCCAUGCCGCGUGUAUGAAGAAGGCCUUCGGGUUGUAAAGUACUUUCAGCGGGGAGGAAGGGAGUAAAGUUAAUACCUUUGCUCAUUGACGUUACCCGCAGAAGAAGCACCGGCUAACUCCGUGCCAGCAGCCGCGGUAAUACGGAGGGUGCAAGCGUUAAUCGGAAUUACUGGGCGUAAAGCGCACGCAGGCGGUUUGUUAAGUCAGAUGUGAA
RNAcentral lists this ribosomal RNA (314 nucleotides) under Escherichia coli. RNAcentral's name for it is "bacterial SSU rRNA". It matches the Rfam family "Bacterial small subunit ribosomal RNA", at positions 292 to 598 of the family's 1533-position model. Lineage: Bacteria; Pseudomonadati; Pseudomonadota; Gammaproteobacteria; Enterobacterales; Enterobacteriaceae. The record is from RNAcentral.